This 301-nucleotide ribosomal RNA is filed under the name uncultured bacterium. RNAcentral describes it as "partial 16S ribosomal RNA". It matches the Rfam family "Bacterial small subunit ribosomal RNA", at positions 509 to 807 of the family's 1533-position model. The record is from RNAcentral.
CAGCCGCCGCGGGAAUACGAAGGGGGCGAGCGUUGCUCGGAAUGACUGGGCGUAAAGGGCGCGUAGGUGGUACGGACAGUCAGAUGUGAAAUUCCCGGGCUCAACCUGGGGGCUGCAUUUGAUACGUCCGAACUAGAGUGUGGAAGAGGGUCGUGGAAUUCCCAGUGUAGAGGUGAAAUUCGUAGAUAUUGGGAAGAACACCGGUGGCGAAGGCGGCGACCUGGUCCAUUACUGACGCUGAGGCGCGAAAGCGUGGGGAGCAAACAGGAUUAGAUACCCCAGUAGUCCCUGUCUCUUAUAC